CGGUAAUUCCAGCUCCAAUAGCGUAUACUAAUGUUGUUGCAGUUAAAAAGCUCGUAGUCGGAUUUCAUGUAGAGAAGUAUAUUUGGCCCUUUGGGUUACAAAGAAACCAUCUCUGCAUUCUUUUGCUGUUACUGCGUUCUCUCACUUCAUUGUGCGAAACGUAUGUUCGGCAUCUUUUACUUUGAGAAAAUUAGAGUGUUCAAAGCAGACAUUUUUGUCUUGAAUAUUACUCAUGGAAUAAUAAUAUAUGACUUCGGUCUUCCUUUGUUGGUGUUUGUAGGCUGGAGUAAUGAUUGAUAGGGACAGUUGGGGUCAUUAGUACUCCUUAGCGAGAGGUGAAAUUCUUAGACCUUAGGAAGACUAACUACUGCGAAAGCAUUUGACAAGGAUGUUCCCGUUGAUCAAGAACGAAAGUUGAGGGAUCGAAGACGAUCAGAUACCGUCGUAGUCUCAACCAUAAACUAUGCCAGCUAGGGAUUGGGAGAGGCCUAAAUUUUCAAAGACUCUCUCAGCACCUUAUGAGAAAUCAAAGCAUUUGGGUUCCGGGGGGAGUAUGGUCGCAAGGCUGAAACUUAAAGGAAUUGACGGGAGGGCACCACCAGGAGUGGAGCCUGUGGCUUAAUUUGAUUCAACACGGGAAAACUUACCAGGUCCGGACAUAGUAAGGAUUGACAGAUUGAAGCUCUUUCUUGAUUCUAUGGGUGGUGGUGCAUGGCCGUUCUUAGUUGGUGGAGUGAUUUGUCUGGUUAAUUCCGUUAACGAACGGGACCUCAGCCUGCUAAAUAGUUAGCUCGAUCAUUGAUCGUGUUACACUUCUUAGAGGGACUACUUUGGGUUUACCAAGAGGAAGCAUGAGGCAAUAACAGGUCUGUGAUGCCCUUAGAUGUUCUGGGCCGCACACGGGCUACACUGGUGGCAUCAACAAGCAUGUAUCCUAGACCGACAGGUCUGGGUAAUCUUUUAAAUGUCACCGCGCUUGGGAUAGAAGGUUGCAAUUGUCCUUCUUCAACGAGGAAUUCCUAGUAAACGUAAGUCAUCAGCUUACAUUGAUUACGUCCCUGCCCUUUGUACACACCGCCC
RNAcentral lists this ribosomal RNA (1080 nucleotides) under uncultured eukaryote. Its description in RNAcentral is "SSU rRNA". It matches the Rfam family "Eukaryotic small subunit ribosomal RNA", at positions 577 to 1674 of the family's 1831-position model. The record is from RNAcentral.